RNAcentral lists this transfer RNA (63 nucleotides) under Aenictopecheidae sp. PJ-2015. RNAcentral's name for it is "tRNA-Glu". Lineage: Eukaryota; Metazoa; Arthropoda; Insecta; Hemiptera; Aenictopecheidae. The record is from RNAcentral.
AUUUAUAUAGUUUAAAAAAAACAUUUUAUUUUCAAUAAAAAAAUAAAUUUUAUUUUAUAAAUA